GUGACCUACGGGACGCAGCAGUGAGGAAUAUUGGUCAAUGGGCGCGAGCCUGAACCAGCCAAGUCGCGUGAGGGAAGACGGUCCUAUGGAUUGUAAACCUCUUUUGUCGGGGAGCAAAAGACGCCACGCGUGGCGUUCCGAGAGUACCCGAAGAAAAAGCAUCGGCUAACUCUGUGCCAGCAGCCGCGGUAAUACGGAGGAUGCGAGGGUUAUCCGGAUUUAUUGGGUUUAAAGGGUGCGCAGGCUGAAGAUCAAGUCAGCGCUAAAAUUGAGAGGCUCAACCUCUUCGAGCC
Molecule: ribosomal RNA, 293 nt
Filed under: uncultured bacterium
Lineage: Bacteria
Description: partial 16S ribosomal RNA
Rfam family: Bacterial small subunit ribosomal RNA
Source: RNAcentral